Molecule: RNA transcript, 2453 nt
Organism: Alosa alosa (allis shad)
Lineage: Eukaryota; Metazoa; Chordata; Actinopteri; Clupeiformes; Clupeidae
Gene name: phospholipase A and acyltransferase 4-like
Exons: 6
Source: RefSeq, a predicted model, not a curated record
AUUAGACAAGUGUGAAAGCGCGAUCGAUGUCGCGAUGCCCCCUGCCUGCGUGCCAUAUGACAUUUGAAGCUGAAACCGCUUGUGGUGGAACACUGAAGCGUGGCGAGACGGAUGUCCUAUACAACCAUGGAACGGAAAUGGAUUGUAAUGAUGUUUUUGUUACAGUCAGAGCCAUAUCCCUUCCAUGGUUGUAUAUAAGGCCUACCUAUAUUUUAUUUCAGUCUAGGCUACUUAACAGAAUAUAUAGUGCCAGCCAACAUAACUUAUCUUUAUGGUUGAAAGUGAAACUUUAUGUUUGCUAUAUGGCUUUCUGUGGUCUACUCCGUGAUUUACGUGAUUUUCCGAGGUUGUUAGAUUGCCACAACCCCCCUAUUAUUUGAAUAAGAACAAAGAGGACUGGCUGAAGGCAUUAGGCUGAGUGCAUCAUGCAGUUGCGUAAUAUCGGCAUGGUCAGGAAUCAACUGCAUGCAUGGUGUAUCAACUGUGUGUGUGUGUGUUUUACUUCCUCUUUUCUGUAGGCCUGCAGUUUCAUGGUGUUACUAUUUCAACAGUGAGCCAAGCGUUAACAAGGACAGAACCAACCACCUGCACGAGCCUACACUUCACACAGGUGAUCUGGGCUGGUGUUUGGGAGCAAUGGGCUGCUGUUUGAGCUGCAUCUACCGGGACCCUGUGCCAGGGGACAUGGUGGAGAUCAUGGAGACGCUGUAUAGCCACUGGGUCGUAUAUGUGGGAGAUGGAUACGUGGUGCACUUCACAGUCCCAGAUUCGGCCAAGUACUUGCCGAUCUCCAAAGGUCACAUCGCACGCAGUAAGCUAGCAGAGAUGGUGGUGGGGCGAUCCCAUCGCGUCAAUAACUACCUGGACGACAGGUAUGAGCCACGGCCCACGGCCGUCAUCGUGGAGGAGGCCAACGCCUGGGUGGGCAAGCCGCUGGACUACAACCUGCUGCUGGAGAACUGCGAACACUUCGUCACUUACCUGCGCUACGGCCAUGCAGAGUCCAGACAGGUGAAACGAGGAUGUUGUGUGUGUGCCUCCUGUACCGUGGUCUGGGUAGAGAUCAUCAAAUGGUUCAAGAGAAAACAUCCGAAAGACAUGCCAGCAGAAGAGGUGGUGUGAGACGAGGAGUACCCCCCCGCAACACACACAUAUAAACACACAAACAUAUAAACACACAUAAACACACACACAAACAUAACAAACAUAUACACACACAUACUCACAGGUCUCUCAUGAAGACAGAAACAUCAUAAUGUUCAUUACCUCUUACUGCAGAUACACACACAUUUAUGAUUUGUCCUAUGAUUUUUUUCUAUUCUGUUUUUAGCACCGUCCUAAUAGCACACACACACUUAAAGGAUAAUUCCGGUAUUUAGCACUUUGAGUCCAUUUUCUGGUUUGUUUUGGAUGAACUAGAGUGGUGGACACCGACAUUUUGAUGAUGGGUCCUGUUUUGGCUUUCUGGCUCGUUUUGAAUAGCCUUUGACUGUUUCAGUCAACGGCUUUCUGGCUCGUUUUGAAUAGCCUUUGACUGUUUCAGUCAACUGUUUCAGUUGGCUGGCUAUGGGCAUGCACAAACAUAUCUUUAAAACAAAGCCGUUAAAACGUUUUAAAACGUUCGUUUACAAAACUGUGCAACUCACUGAGUGGUUAGUGGUGUUCGUUGAUUAUUAAAAACAAAUAUAUCUGCGCAAAGCACGAUUUCAAUCCGUUUUAUUUGCUAUUGUGGAACUAUUUUUUCAGAUACCUCACAACCGCAUAUAAACUUCCGCUCAAUAUUUGAGUCUGAAGCAUAGACAGCAAAAGAAGGUCUCGCGGUGGAAAGACUACAACCAAAUGUAAACAGGCCCCCUUUCUGUUUCAGUAAUAUCAACGACUAAUGAGUCUUCUAACAGAAAUCAAUGGGAUUUAACAAAACGCCAAAUAAGACAGGACAGGAACUGUAUUUCGCUGCGCUACUUGUUUUGGAACAUCAACGAACACCACUAACCACUCGUUAAAGGAGCAAAGCCUCUUACAGCCUCUGUAAGCAGCACACAAACAGGCCGCCUGAGCCAUGAACUAUUCCAUCCAAUCAACACGCUGCACUGCCUCAGAAGCACCAAUCAACACGCUGCACUGCAUCAGAAGCACCAAUCAACACGCUGCACUGCCUCAGAAGCACCAAUCAACACGCUGCACUGCAUCAGAAGCACCAAUCAACACGCUGCACUGCCUCAGAAGCACCAAUCAACACGCUGCACUGCAUCAGAAGCACAGGAGAGAGGGGUGUCAUGUCACCAAGCGGUCACUCCAACUUCAUACUAGGCCUGGUCCAAUCACACUCCAACUUCAUACUAGGCCUGGUCCAAUCACAUUCCUUCUCUCUUCUCCAUAGGGUUUCCAUCUCCUAGGACAUAACACAAACAUUUAUAACAUACAAUAAAUAUGCAAUAAAUCAUUUCCACAGA